Molecule: unclassified non-coding RNA, 279 nt
Filed under: plant metagenome
Description: partial contains small subunit ribosomal RNA, internal transcribed spacer 1, and 5.8S ribosomal RNA
Source: RNAcentral
UUUCCGUAGGUGAACCUGCGGAAGGAUCAUUAUUGUAUAACCGAGGGUCGAGGUCUGGCGCUGACGCGAAUGGUCGUGCACGCCCGGGUGCUCUCCCACACAUCCAUCUCACCCCUAUGUUCACCACCGCGCGGUUCCCCCUUUGGUUUGUUCGUAGGCGGGCUACCGUUUUCACACCAUCUUUUGUUGAAGUGCAGAAUGUAUUUUUUGUUUUUGUGUUCACGCAAGCAAUACAACUUUCAACAUCGGAGCUCUUGGCUCUCGCAUCGAUGAAGAACC